UUUCUUUCGGUGUUCGGCACAGGAAGGUUUGAGCUUCCAGGAGGGCGUUUCCAAAGAAAG
Molecule: transfer RNA, 60 nt
Filed under: Leucophytia bidentata (two-toothed white snail)
Lineage: Eukaryota; Metazoa; Mollusca; Gastropoda; Ellobiida; Ellobiidae
Description: Auriculinella bidentata (two-toothed white snail) tRNA-Gln
Source: RNAcentral